GGCCGGUGCAAGUGCAGUGGUGUUUACAACAAAUCGAUCAAGACCAGUUACAGAUUUCUUUGUUCCUUCCCUACUCUCAUUGAUUCACUUGACUGGCCUUUA
This is an unclassified non-coding RNA of Cercocebus atys (sooty mangabey), 102 nucleotides long. It matches the Rfam family "Y RNA". Rfam says of the family: Y RNAs are components of the Ro ribonucleoprotein particle (Ro RNP), in association with Ro60 and La proteins. NCBI's taxonomy places the organism in Eukaryota, Metazoa, Chordata, Mammalia, Primates, Cercopithecidae. The record is from Ensembl.